RNAcentral lists this ribosomal RNA (360 nucleotides) under Triticum aestivum (bread wheat). RNAcentral's name for it is "partial small subunit ribosomal RNA". Lineage: Eukaryota; Viridiplantae; Streptophyta; Magnoliopsida; Poales; Poaceae. The record is from RNAcentral.
AUGUACUUAGUACAUGAACAGGAAUACACACAGGAGCAUCAGAACAUGAGCAGGAAAGAGCUAGGCAUCUAUACAAACCUCACCUACAGGAACAUGAGCAGAACAUCUAUAGAAAUCCCGCACACUACAUCUACAGAAAAUCCAGCACGUGUAGCUACAUCUACAGAAAUCUGCCAUGGAAUCCCGCAUGCUACAUCUACACCUACAGAAUCCCGCAUGUUAUAUCUACGUAGAAAAGGAAAACAACCGUUACAUCUACAAACUACAACAGGAGCACGCACGCGUGUAUCACAAGGCCCAGCAAAUCACACAUACCAGCGGCUGCAUCAGAUGGCGAGAGGGCGACAUGAACUGACCUAG